RNAcentral lists this long non-coding RNA (1278 nucleotides) under Chloebia gouldiae (Gouldian finch). Its description in RNAcentral is "Erythrura gouldiae (Gouldian finch) lncRNA (ENSEGOG00005003261.1)". Lineage: Eukaryota; Metazoa; Chordata; Aves; Passeriformes; Passeridae. The record is from RNAcentral.
AUGCUGAGCCAUCGCAAAGCUGGAAAAUCCCCCCCGCCGCCCCAAAAGCCCCAAACGGAGAUUCUUUGCUCCCGGUGUGCUCGGGGGCAGCUUCAGGUGUGGGGUGAGGAGGGCGAAAAGAGCCCGAAAGAAGCCGCGCGCGCUUUAAGCGCGGCUCAUGUCCCACUUAAGCGCGGGCUGGGGCUUUGCCCACCUGUUUGCCGGGGCAGGAGCGCGGGCAGCGCUGCUGGGCUGUCGGGGCGCACGGCAGCGCGGAGCGAGCGAGAAGCGGAGAGAAGCUCCUUGCCCCACCCCACGAAGGCCCUCUCGGGGUCCCCGUCCCCCCUCACCUGGGCGGUUGGCGCGGCCGGGAGCGGCAGCAGCAGCGGCAGCAGCAGCAGCAGCGGCGGGAGGCGGCCCCGCGCCCCCCACGGCCCCGCCAUGGUGCGGUGCGGCCCCGCCGCUCUCCGAGACCGGCUGCCCCGCGCUCUCCCCGCCCCGCCCGCGCCGCCCCCGCGCUGCCCCGUGCAGGGGACGCGGCGCUUCCCCGCCCCGGCGCCGGCCGGCCCCGCGCAUCCCCCGGGACACCGGCCGGACUCUGUGGGCAUCCACUGCCCGGGACACCGGCCGGGCUCUGUGGGCAUCCAUCCCCAGCGGUUGAGGUGCGGGAGCGUAGCUUUUCCCCCAGCAAAGCUGUUUCUUGUACAGCCGCGAGCGGACACCGUGCAGGAGCCCGUCAGGCCCCGCGCUCCGGCGGGGCCGGGACCACCCACGCCAGGCAGGGAAACCCUUUCCCAGCCCUGCACACCCUCCCCAGCUCGGUACCCCGUUUUCCAGCUCCUGCACCCCAUCUCAGUCACUGAAUCUAUUUCCCGAAUCCCAAAAUGCCUUAUCCAGCUCCUGCAACCCCCCACCCCAAGUUCGAUACCCCCUUCUCCAACUCCUGCACACCCUCCCCAGCCCGGUCCCCCCAUUUCCAGCCCGGUCUCCCCCAAGGAGAGGCAAGAGGGGCUGAGUCCGGUUCUGGUUGCUGCCAAGCAGCCCCAGCUAUGGAAGCAGCAGAAUUCCCCCCAAAAGGAGAAGGGGCAGCAGGGAAGGGCCAGGCUAUGGCUGGGGGGCUCCAGCCCUCCCAGGACCCCCUCAGGCUCCUGUUUCACUGCUGCUGUAGCUGGAGUGAUGGCUCCUCAGCACGCGGAUGGGAUGGAUGGAAACCCAUCAGGGAGAAGGGAGUGUGGGAGCACCCACUGUUCCCAUUGGGGCUCCCGUUGCUGUUUUCCAUGGGGAUCUCUUGCAGCGUGA